AUACAUCUCCAAUGGAUACAAAAGUAAUUUAACACCUAUUUUUUAAAAUGGCAGACUAAUAGUCUUAAAUAAAACCUAUAUUUUUACAUUUUCGUUCCCAUUUUAUCCUCCUCUUCACCUGAAUCGUUCUCUUUCAAUCUACCUUUGUAUCAUCAGUUUCUUCACCCUUCACCUGAAUUCGUACCGAGAAGUCUGUAUUGAAGUUUGAUCUUUCACAUUCCCUCACCUGCCCUUCAAUUGAAUGCUGCGACUCAAUCGCUGCCUUUAAUUAGUCGCCUCAAUCCACCUCUUCUUAUUCAUAAACAACGCUUCUUCCUGUCAUUAUGCGGAUUUGGAUUUUCAAUUCCGCGUGAAGGAGACGGCAAUCGAUUCAUUCAAAUCCCCAGUUUCUCUUCGGUAACAAAAUUCAACAAACAAUUGGCAAUCGUCGGUGUGCUUCUCGGUAGCUCGUUCAAAGGAACCGUCGAUGUCACUAAUAGUUACGCAGGUUUGGUUUUUGAUCGAUUCGGUUUUUGUUUUGCGUGUGUUCUAGGGUUUGUUUGGAUCUGAGGUGGUAAAUUUAGUUAUUGUAGAUUGUUUUUGGUGACGUGACAGUUUAAUUUUGUGUUUGUUUGUGGUUAUAGAUUGUUCAUGAUAAGAUAUGUGGUCUAGGCUUUAUAAUUGUGACAGAUGUGACGGUUGAAUUGUUGUGAUUGUUCAGAAUUAUAGAUUGUUUAUGCUAAAGAUGUGUAUUCUAGGGUUUAUAUAAUCAUGACAUAUAUGACGGUUGAAUUGUUUUGGUUAUUGAGGAUUGUAGAUUGUUUAUGCUAACGAUGUAUUCUAGGGUUUAUAAAUUAUAAUCAUGACAGAUAUGACGGUUGAAUUUUUGUGCUUGUUCGUUGAAUCGAAGUUCUACAGGGAAAUGGAAUUUGCUUCAAAUGCCACUGGCUUUGUUCCCAUGGUUCAAUGGCCUCUUUUUCUUCUAGCCAGCAAGAUAUUCGUUGAUGCAACAUUUGGCGGCAGAGAGUGACUCACAAAUACAAUUGUGGGAAAGGAUUUCGAGAGACGAUCACAUGAAAUAUGCAGUUGAAGAGUGUUUUACACCAUCAAGCUGAUUUUGACCUCAAUUUUUGACAAUGAUGGCAAAGAGUGGGUUAAUAGAAUAUAUGAUGAAAUUCGAGGAAGUAUAGUGAAAGGAGCAACUGUCUCUUGUUACUCAGAAAGUGUUUGGAUCCGAAAUUUGUUGUGGUAUAACUGGUGGAUGAAUCUAUAUUUAUCAUUUUUGUUGUGAUUUAAAUUAUUGAAUAGUUGAACAUGUGCGGUUGUGUGUUUGUUGAUUAGUGAUGAACGAUAAUGAUUUGUGUUGGUUUGGAAGUUUCUUUAUGAUUUUAAACCUAUUUUUUGUGGUUCUUUUUCAUAUGGUCCAAUUUCUUUUUUCCAGCAUUGUUCAACCAUCACUAUGAUUUUUUGUCUUUUAGGAUUCAGUAUGUGAGAGUGUAUGUUGUGUGUCAGCAGCCUAUUCGAAAUUGUUGCAUAUCGGGUAUAUUUUUGGGCAAAAGUCACGGGACCCAUAUAUUCUCGGACGAAAUCCGUUCGGGGGAGGACUCAAUACGUAUAAAAUUUUCGGACGUGAUAUGCGUAAAAUUUCUAACCUUCGCACCUGAUUUUUUGCCCAAGUCUCAUAAAUCGAGCUCCAAUUUUCAUUUUCAAAUCCUUUAUUUGAGAUGAGGAAUUGAUGAGGAAUAAGUUCCUGGGGAAGAAGAAGCAAUUGGUGCAUUACAAUUAUUCCUUCUUUACAUCAAUGAAUUUCUCUUAAAGAUCGGUGAUCCUGCAACUACAAUGAAGUGCUACUCUUUAUUUUGGCAAGAUGUGGCAUCUAUAUAACCAUUUGGAAAAUGUACAUAUUAGGUGAUGGCGCACUUAACUCUCGCUCUGCUCCCUCAAGUCUACGAAUUGUGCUCCUCGCCGUCGCAACACUUGAGGUACUGUAGCGCAAAGAAAAAAAAAGAUGAGUAUAUUUUAACAAGAGAUGGGAAGUUCCAUCCGCUUACUUAUGAAUGAGGAUAUUUCGCAUCUUUGACAGGCUAAAAGAGUUAUUAGGUCAACCCAACAUAGUGCAACUAUGUUUUGACUUACACCCAGAUUCAAAGAAAUGGAAAAACAUAUGGACCGCUUGCGUUUUCUUGAUCCCUCUGCAAUGCGCUGGUAAACCCACUAUAUAUAUUUACGUAUGGGGUGGGCCUAGGCUACCCAGUGUUGUCUGCGAUCGCAGGCGUAUGGGGCUGCCUUUUGCCACUGGGUUACCUCAGGUAGCCGUGCUUUUAUUCGUUGGUCGUCUAAAAAACAACCAAUUUAGUCUUUUGAAGCUUGAAUCUUAAUGUAAGCAACACGAGCUUUACGAGUAUUUGUUGAUCAGGUUUACAAACCAUUAUCAUUUUUUUAUAUGGUUUUGGCACAAUUAGCACAACAAAGAACCCAAUAUAUGUGCAGUCUUAUACUCUUUCUGUAGAAGCCCGGCGAAAGACGGUGCAAGGUUGGUAACAACCUACAAAGAACAAGUUGAGGUGGAAAUUUCAACCUAUUCACCAAAAAUGGGUCCAUUCAACUUAUAUUUUUCAAACUUUGCUCUGUAUUAACUUCUAUUAUUUUUUUAAAUAGAGAUUGUAGAUGGUAAGUGCUGGUGGUAUGUUGGUGAUAUGUUCAUGUCUUGCAUUAUUUACUCCGCCGCAACGCGCGGGUCUCCCACUAGUACUAUAUAUAAGC
This is an RNA transcript of Helianthus annuus (common sunflower), 2742 nucleotides long. It is a transcript of the gene named rac-like GTP-binding protein ARAC3, with no coding region annotated. The transcript is spliced from 5 exons. NCBI's taxonomy places the organism in Eukaryota, Viridiplantae, Streptophyta, Magnoliopsida, Asterales, Asteraceae. The record is from RefSeq and is a predicted model, not a curated record.